UUUUUUUUUUUUUCUUUUGAGAUGAAGGUUCGCUGUUGUUGCCCAGGCCGGAGUGCAAUGGCACGAUUUCGGCUCACUGCAACCUCCGCCUCCCAGGUUCAAGUGAUUCUCCUGCCUUAGCUUCCCAGGUAGCUGGGAUUGCAGGCAUGCACCACCACGCCUCGCUAAUGUUUGUAAUUUUAGUAGAGAUGGGGUUUCGCCGUGUUGGUCAAGCUGGAACUCCUCACCUCAGGUGAUCCACCUGCCUCGGCCUCCCAAACUUCUGGGAUUUCAGGUGUGAGCCGCUGCACCCAGCCCCCUUUUCACUCAUUAGGUUUUCUGUUUUCCAGCCACACUUGCUUACUCUAGGGCAGACCACACUCGAGAGUUCUCAGGAGAGUUUGUGAGCACGAUACCCUUCUCUAACAAACCACUUGUAAGUUCCCUGAGUGACAACUAACUUGCUCUUUCUGAAUUACUGAACAUACUCCAGAAACAAAAUCCAGACAAUAGAGUUCAUUCUGCAGAAAUGUUCCAGUUGCUGCCAGUCGAGGUGGUGGCUACAGAGCAUUAGAGGCUAUACCUGGUGCAGAUGCACCUGACAGCAAACACUCAAAAUAUCCCGAGAAUGACGCUGUGGUCUAAGAAGGGUGUGUGUUCAGAGUCCCGAGUGAAGGAAUCUGGGGGUGGCCACCUGGGAGUUUCUCUUUCCAUCUGUGAAGGACCUCCGUACCCCUGGCCCAUUCCUUGGAACACAGGCUGAACAGGGGAUCAAGGCCCUUUGUUUUGGGUUAAAUGAAGGUUGCUAGGAGAGGGCGCUAAGGGAAAAUGCUGCAUAAACUGCUUACUUUUUACACACAGUAGAGUUUUCCUGUCCAGCCCGCCACUACUGGACUGUACUGUAUGUGUUUUCAGUAACCCCUAUGCCGCACUCACUGGCUCCAAGUCUAUUCUUCAACCUCUGGGACCCAGUGCCCUCCCUGUUGGAAUCAACAGGGGUCUGGCAAAACACUAGCACAUUAAUGGGGCAGAGAGCCAUAUGCUUUGAUUAGGAGGAGGAACCCCAGACUUUGCUUAUUCAGGUAACUACAGCUAGACUCACGCAAGGCAUCGAGGUGCAAAGAGUCCCUGGUCCGCUGCAGUCCCGGGCCUUUCCGUCCAGUGCAAACAACUCUCCUGCCCUGCCAUUCUGCCUCUCACGUCUGCUCAUUGGUAAAGCCAGAGGAAUCACACACACAGACAAGUUACCUAAGUUUAGUAAAGGCAAGUGAGAUUUCAUUCACACUCACAGCCUUUGGUUUAGCUUCCCAAACUCCUUCCUAAGUGGUGAGAAGAGAAAUUUGGUACACUUGGGUGUUCACCUCUUGACCCUCCCUGCUCAACCCUUCACUCUCCACCUCCUGCAUUGGGGGCUCACCCAGCCUCAGGUAUGAGGGUAACAGAUGGGUCUCCAGUGCACCUGCGCCAUGCUCAACCAAACUCUGGACUAUAAAAACUAGGUCCUUAUUCAUGUAGAGCUAGCUUCCUUCUGCAGAGGAAGAGAAUAUGAUUGUACUUGUCUAAUGGGUUCUUCCUAGCUGCUGCACAGAC
Macaca fascicularis (crab-eating macaque) is the source of this 1569-nucleotide long non-coding RNA. NCBI's taxonomy places the organism in Eukaryota, Metazoa, Chordata, Mammalia, Primates, Cercopithecidae. The record is from Ensembl.